GGCAUUGACUUGACAGGAAAUGGAGACUCUUUUCUGGAGAAAUAGAUGGGGAGACUGGCUUCUGGGUCAGGAUGAUGUUCUCACUCACUGUUCAAGAGUAAAAGAGAAAAGUGGCACUUAACGGUGCACAAAGGGGGUCCUGAACAACGUAGCAUCCACCCUCCCUUAGGAGAGAGGAUUUGCCUUCCCUCUGACCUGCCCUCCAGAAAGCCAGGCUCCAGAGUAGCUGCACCUAAGUCCCCAGAAGCAUGCUGGCAGGGAAUGUUCAGAGCCCAGGGAAUGGGUGAGGCUUCAGCUUUUAUAGAGACUGGGGGUAUGAUGGAGAUGAGAUAGGGGAGGGGAGCAUGCAAAAAAAAGAAAAAAAGGCCACAGGGAAAUAAUUUGGGUAGUCCUAUGAGGCUGUAGGUUUUCCGACUAGAGAUGGGGGCAGAAAUCCUUGUUAAGAAAUAUUAAUCCUUCUUAAGAAAUCAGAACUAUUAAGAAAGCAACUUUUCUAUCCCUUGACAAUGAGCAAAAGAAAAAGAUCCUGCCUUGAGUCAAAGCAAGAAGCAGCUCUCCAUGAUACGUUUCUCACUGGCCUGACUUGACUCACUCCAGAUGCUGGACUUCUACAGCAGCAGAGGUGAACAUCUGUCAAUAUGCUGCCAGAGAGGCUCUGAGAUCCACAAGAAGUGCAUCAGCCAGGAGGCAUCUGGAUCAAAAGCUGGUGAGGUUUGUGCUCCAGCUGUAACACCACAAGUGACCACGGGUCUUCUUUGAUUCCUCUGGCCAAUAUCCUCCCAGAACACCCAAGGAACCUGUGGCUCUACUCUUCCCUUUGAGGUACAUUUGCAUAGUCGUUGUUGGUGUACAUGUUUUACAUUCUCUUCAGCACUGGAAACUGCCAGAAAGUAAGGAUCAUAGAUUCUAUAACCACAGUCCCGGCCAUGCACAGGACAGUAGACUUUAGGUGUUUCCUUUUUC
Molecule: long non-coding RNA, 963 nt
Filed under: Canis lupus familiaris (dog)
Lineage: Eukaryota; Metazoa; Chordata; Mammalia; Carnivora; Canidae
Description: lncRNA (ENSCAFG00030005777.1)
Source: RNAcentral